RNAcentral lists this ribosomal RNA (405 nucleotides) under uncultured bacterium. RNAcentral describes it as "partial 16S ribosomal RNA". It matches the Rfam family "Bacterial small subunit ribosomal RNA", at positions 28 to 526 of the family's 1533-position model. The record is from RNAcentral.
GAUGAACGCUGGCGGCGUGCUUAACACAUGCAAGUUGAACGAAGUGGCGGAUGGGCGAGUAACACGUGAGGAACCUGCCUUUCACAGGGGAAUAACCCUGGGAAACCAUUGCUAAUACCGCAUAGUGAAAGAUGGCCUCGCGCCUGCUUAGCUGGUAGGUGAGGUAAAGUCUCACCUAGGUGAUGAUCAGUAGCCGGACUGGAGGUUGAUCGGCCGCAUUGGGACGGAGACACGGCCCAGACUCCUACGGGAGGCAGCAGUGGGGAAGAUUGGGCAAUGGCGCAAGCCUGACCCAGCAACGCCGCGUGGGGGAUGAAGGCUUUCGGGUUGUAAACCUCUUUCCAUCGAACAGGGUAGGUGGAGAAGAAGCGCCGGCUAACUACGUGCCAGCCGCCGCGGUAAUUC